This 162-nucleotide small nuclear RNA is filed under the name Triticum dicoccoides. Its description in RNAcentral is "snRNA U1". It matches the Rfam family "U1 spliceosomal RNA". Rfam says of the family: U1 is a small nuclear RNA (snRNA) component of the spliceosome (involved in pre-mRNA splicing). Its 5' end forms complementary base pairs with the 5' splice junction, thus defining the 5' donor site of an intron. The record is from RNAcentral. Lineage: Eukaryota; Viridiplantae; Streptophyta; Magnoliopsida; Poales; Poaceae.
AUACUUACCUGGACGGGGUCUAUGAGUGAUCAAUAAGGCUCAUGGCCUAGGUUAACGGUUCACAUUGCACGUGAUGAGUGUGUUGAUCUACCAUCUUCCCUCUAUGGGAGAGUGGACGCCGUAAUUUAUGAUAUAGGGGGUGUGCCUUCGCGCGGCCCUAUC